This is a non-coding RNA of Trichobilharzia regenti, 49 nucleotides long. The record is from Rfam. NCBI's taxonomy places the organism in Eukaryota, Metazoa, Platyhelminthes, Trematoda, Strigeidida, Schistosomatidae.
AUCCAGCUGGCGGACGAGUCCCAAAUAGGACGAAAUGCGCAUCCUGGAU